This 441-nucleotide ribosomal RNA is filed under the name uncultured bacterium. RNAcentral's name for it is "bacterial SSU rRNA". It matches the Rfam family "Bacterial small subunit ribosomal RNA", at positions 338 to 795 of the family's 1533-position model. The record is from RNAcentral.
CCUACGGGGGGCUGCAGUGAGGAAUCUUGCACAAUGGGCGAAAGCCUGAUGCAGCGACGCCGCGUGCGGGAAGAAGGCCUUCGGGUUGUAAACCGCUUUUCUGGGGGACGAGCAAGGACGGUACCUCAGGAAUAAGUCCCGGCUAACUACGUGCCAGCAGCCGCGGUAAUACGUAGGGGGCAAGCGUUAUCCGGAAUCACUGGGCGUAAAGGGCGUCUAGGCGGCAAGGCAAGUCUCGCGUAAAAGCUCCCGGCUCAACUGGGAGAGCGCGCGGGAAACUGCCUGGCUAGAGACUCGGAGAGGGGUGUGGAAUUCCCGGUGGAGUGGUGAAAUGCGUUGAGAUCGGGAGGAACACCAGUAGCGAAGGCGGCACCCUGGCCGAGUUCUGACGCUGAAGCGCGACAGCGUGGGGAGCAAACGGGAUUAGAUACCCCUGUAGUC